This is a long non-coding RNA of Stegostoma tigrinum, 1135 nucleotides long. RefSeq lists it as uncharacterized. The transcript is spliced from 4 exons. NCBI's taxonomy places the organism in Eukaryota, Metazoa, Chordata, Chondrichthyes, Orectolobiformes, Stegostomatidae. The record is from RefSeq and is a predicted model, not a curated record.
UUCCAUUGAGGCCUGUGUUUUCGGGUUAUUUACAAAGAGCUCUGUGAUUUAAGGUUUACAUAGAAAGGCUGUAUUCUAAGGUUUAUUUACAGAAGGCUCUCUGCUUUAGGGUUUAUUUACAGUGAGCAGUGUAGUUUAGGAUUUAUUUCCAGUGAGCUCUGGGCUUUAGCAUUUAUUUACAGGAGGAUCUUCAUUUCAUGGUUUUGUUUCAGUUGGAUCUUUGUUUCAGGGUUUUUUUUUAAACAAUGAGCUCUGUGUCUUAUUUACAGUGCCAUCUGCGUUUUUGAGUUUAUUUGCAGAGCAUUCUGUGUUUUUGAGUUUAUUUCCAGGAGGCUCUCUGUUUUAGCGUUUGUUUGCAGGAUCCUCUGUGUUUUAAGAUUUAAUUUACUGUUUAUUGGCAUGGGUACUCUCUGUUUGAGGCACUGACUGAGUACUGGCCUUCUGACAAUGUGGUACUCAUUCAGAUCUGACCCUCCAGCAAUGAGGUACUGUGUCAGAACUGAUCCACUGACAGUAAAGCACUGCCCCCUCAGUUCUGACCCUCUGACAGAGCUGCAAUCGUUCAGGACUGAACUUCUGAUCAUGUUGUACUCCAUCAACUCUGAACCCAAUGCAUUGAGGGAAAAAAGCCUUGAAAGUGCCGUUUUUUUUUGCAUGGCAAGCUGCUGAAUACGAACCAGUCUCACACCAUUGCCAUCACCUUGCCCUUGUGAAGGCAGAUAUGGAUAAAGUUUUUAAAGCUGAUAGAAAAUUGAAAGCACUCGCAUCCUGUGACAAUGAUUCUGAUGUCGGUAACUGGAAAGCCUCCAUUGUUGGAGGACGAGAAGCCAUAUCCAAUUGAAGCAGCAUAGGCUUUUGCGAUGACUGUGGAAACCACUGCUUAUGCCUUGCUUCAAGCAUUGUCAAGGAAUGAUAUCGACUAUGCAACACGGAUUGCGAGGUGGCUAACGAUGCAACAGAACUGUGGUGGUGGAUUUCACUCGACGCAGGACACAAUCAUUGCCUUGGAAGCUUCAUCAUGAUACGACAUUGCAUUUCUGAAGAGGGAAGAAGAAAUCAACAUGCAAAUUCAAUUCCAUGGUUUUGGACGUCCCAUUGAGAACACGAUUCAUGUGCGCCGGCAUAAUGCUCUGAC